GGAAGUAAAAUUCGUAACAAGGUUUCCGUAGGUGAACCUGCGGAAGGAUCAUUAAUGAGAACUAGGGGUGGUAGCCUUGGCUACUACUCUGAACACUCCACCCUUUGUUUGCAUUACCUUUGUUGCUUUAGCAGGCCCGCCUUUGGGCCGCCGGCACCUGCUGGCCAGCGCCUGCUAGAGAACCUAAAACUCUUGUUAAUAAUAUUGUCUGAGUACUAUAUAAUAGUUAAAACUUUCAACAACGGAUCUCUUGGUUCUG
Molecule: unclassified non-coding RNA, 259 nt
Filed under: plant metagenome
Description: partial contains small subunit ribosomal RNA, internal transcribed spacer 1, and 5.8S ribosomal RNA
Rfam family: Eukaryotic small subunit ribosomal RNA (bases 1-54)
Source: RNAcentral